This 253-nucleotide ribosomal RNA is filed under the name uncultured bacterium. RNAcentral's name for it is "partial 16S ribosomal RNA". It matches the Rfam family "Bacterial small subunit ribosomal RNA", at positions 524 to 776 of the family's 1533-position model. The record is from RNAcentral.
UACGGAGUGUGCAAGCGUUACUCGGAAUCACUGGGCAUAAAGCGCGCGUAGGCGGGGAUUCAAGUCGGUUGUGAAAUCCCCCAGCUCAACUGGGGAACUGCAUCCGAUACUGUCUGUCUUGAGGACGAGAGGGGAGAGUGGAACUUCUGGUGGAGCGGUGAAAUGCGUAGAUAUCUGGAGGAAUACCGGUGGCGAAGGCGGCAUCCUGGACCGACAUUGACGCUGAGGAGCGAAAGCUAGGGGAGCAAACGGG